UGUAACCACAGUUUUACACAGUCUAUAUCUAAUGUUUAACUGUCCGUCUUAUUUAAUUUUUUUUAAGAUUAGUAAUUUUAUGGGUAUAGAUGAUAAAACUUAAAUAAUAAUUUAUAUGUGACUAUUUUUUUAAUUUUUUUUUAUAAUUUUAAAUAAAAUAGACGUUCAAAUGUUAGACACGAAAAUCCACAUCUGUAUUAAAA
This 203-nucleotide microRNA precursor is filed under the name Oryza glumipatula. RNAcentral's name for it is "MIR812 microRNA precursor family". It matches the Rfam family "MIR812 microRNA precursor family". Lineage: Eukaryota; Viridiplantae; Streptophyta; Magnoliopsida; Poales; Poaceae. The record is from Rfam by way of RNAcentral.